UGCCAGCAGCCGCGGUAAUACGAAGGGGGCUAGCGUUGUUCGGAAUUACUGGGCGUAAAGCGCACGUAGGCGGAUUGGAAAGUUGGGGGUGAAAUCCCGGGGCUCAACCCCGGAACUGCCUCCAAAACUAUCAGUCUAGAGUUCGAGAGAGGUGAGUGGAACUCCGAGUGUAGAGGUGAAAUUCGUAGAUAUUGGGAAGAACACCAGUGGCGAAGGCGGCCACCUGGCUCGAUACUGACGCUGAGGUGCGAAAGCGUGGGGAGCAAACAGGAUUAGAUA
RNAcentral lists this ribosomal RNA (279 nucleotides) under uncultured bacterium. RNAcentral describes it as "partial 16S ribosomal RNA". It matches the Rfam family "Bacterial small subunit ribosomal RNA", at positions 506 to 784 of the family's 1533-position model. The record is from RNAcentral.